RNAcentral lists this signal recognition particle RNA (86 nucleotides) under Vreelandella aquamarina. Its description in RNAcentral is "Bacterial small signal recognition particle RNA". It matches the Rfam family "Bacterial small signal recognition particle RNA", at positions 5 to 90 of the family's 97-position model. From Rfam's summary of the family: The signal recognition particle (SRP) is a universally conserved ribonucleoprotein involved in the co-translational targeting of proteins to membranes. Archaeal SRP consists of a 7S RNA and homologues of the eukaryotic SRP19 and SRP54 proteins. Lineage: Bacteria; Pseudomonadati; Pseudomonadota; Gammaproteobacteria; Oceanospirillales; Halomonadaceae. RNAcentral also lists the same sequence under 9 other names. The record is from RNAcentral.
GGUCCUCCCGCAACGCUAAACUGCGAACCCCGCCAGGCCCGGAAGGGAGCAACGGUAGUGGUGGCUGCGUGUGCCGGGAUGUGGCU